Molecule: unclassified non-coding RNA, 352 nt
Filed under: soil metagenome
Description: partial contains 5.8S ribosomal RNA, internal transcribed spacer 2, and large subunit ribosomal RNA
Rfam family: 5.8S ribosomal RNA (bases 1-120)
Source: RNAcentral
GAUGAAGAACGCAGCGAAAUGCGAUAAGUAAUGUGAAUUGCAGAAUUCAGUGAAUCAUCGAAUCUUUGAACGCACAUUGCGCCCGCCAGUAUUCUGGCGGGCAUGCCUGUUCGUGCGUCAUUACAACCCUCAGGCCCCCGGGCCUGGCGUUGGGGAUCGGCGGAGCCCCCCGUGGGCACACGCCGUCCCCCAAAUGCAGUGGCGGUCCCGCCGCAGCUUCCAUCGCGUAGUAGCUAACACCUCGCGACUGGAGAGCGGCGCGGCCACGCCGUAAAACACCCAACUCUUCUGAAGUUGACCUCGAAUCAGGUAGGAAUACCCGCUGAACUUAAGCAUAUCAAUAAGCGGAGGA